This 1541-nucleotide long non-coding RNA is filed under the name Olea europaea (common olive). Its description in RNAcentral is "long non-coding RNA (OEUR_LNC006061)". The record is from RNAcentral. Lineage: Eukaryota; Viridiplantae; Streptophyta; Magnoliopsida; Lamiales; Oleaceae.
UCUCAUGGAACAGGUGUGUGACAUUUCAGGAACUGGUGCACCACUUGGUCUGAUUCGUCUUAGCCAUUGGAUCGCACUAUUUUUAUGAUCUGACGGCCCAGAUUGAACCAUGAAGUGAAGUGUCCAUUCAUCAUGCCUAUUCACCAAUUUCUGAAUAGUCACAGCCAUACGGAUGCCACGCGUACACCUAACCGCCAUGCAGGACGAAGGGACGCGACCUACCACUCGUGCGCCACCUAGAAUGCCAACACCUUAUAGAAUUCAUGAUGAACAAAUUUUGACAAUUUAUUAAUCAAUAGGGAUUAAAACCUAAUUCGAAUGAUAUGUACGAAGUUUUAUCAACUCGGUAACAUGAGUUCGACUCUCAUAUACUCAACGAGACAUUUCUACUCUCUUCUAUUGUUCUUUAGCUCAAAUUAUAAUACAACUGUUGUCGGAAAUUCGACUAACGCAAUCAAAAGAAGAAAUAAAAUAAGCAGAAAAAUAGACAGUAAAUGAAGCGAGGUAUGCCAAUAAAGUAAGCAAAUCUCCUUAAGACAGAUUUCGCCCCCCAAUGAAGUGCAAACGGGAUUAUGGACGUCUGUCUCCCAAGAUACAACGCUCCUUCCAAAGUCGAUACUGCACAAUACCAACCUUGUCGGUCGAACCAAUGAAUGAUCGUACUUGAACGGAAUAACGACGGAAGUAUAAGAGAUUUUUUACGAGCAGAAUAUGGAGAUAGAAGAAUUUAGAAAUCAAUUGAAUUCGUAAUUGAUUUGGUGUGUCAAAAAACGAAUAUGGGGGUCCCUAUUUAUAGAGAUUGAAGUGUCUCAUGGAACAGGUGUGUGACAUUUCAGGAACUGGUGCACCACUUGGUCUGAUUCGUCUUAGCCAUUGGAUCGCACUAUUUUUAUGAUCUGACGGCCCAGAUUGAACCAUGAAGUGAAGUAUCCAUUCAUCAUGCCUAUUCACCAAUUUCUGAACAGUCACAGCCAUACGGAUGCCACGCGUACCCCUAACCGCCAUGCAGGACGAAGGGACGCGACCUACCACUCGUGCGCCACCUAGAAUGCCAACUCAUCGAGCCUUGUGCUGCCACGUCAUCGAACCACGAGUCCAUUUCCGAAAACUAUAAGGCUCCCCAGCUCCUCGCGACGAUGCGUACGUGCGAAGUGCGCCUCUAAAGCGCCCAAUGCGUACUUUGCGACGUGCGCGUGCCGGGACCGGGACCGGGUCCGGGGAAUGGUGCUAGUGGUGCGAAGCACCACUCUAGUGGUGACUAGCCUUUGGCUAGCUAAAGUUGGCCAAGUGGUAGGUAACAUAUUAAAUUAUAUAUUAUUUACACAACCCACUAUAUAAACAAGACUAUUUUCUUGUAAACUUUCGAUGUGGGACUCCUUUCCAUAUAAAAACCACUUAAAAUGGGCUUGUCAACAUAUGGGCCUAUAUUGGAGACUUUUCCAAUUCACUUAAAUUAAUUGCAAUGACCCAUAUCAUUAAAUAUUACAUUUAAUAUUUUAAACCCAAAUCAAACCCAAAUCAAAUUCAAUUAAUUCCAACAA